AUUAAACGCUGGCGGCAUGCCUUACACAUGCAAGUCGAACGGCAGCACGGGGGCAACCCUGGUGGCGAGUGGCGGACGGGUGAGUAAAGCAUCGGAACGUAUCCUGGAGUGGGGGAUAACGUAGCGAAAGUUACGCUAAUACCGCAUAUUCUGUGAGCAGGAAAGCAGGGGAUCGCAAGACCUUGCGCUCUGGGAGCGGCCGAUGUCGGAUUAGCUAGUUGGUGGGGUAAAGGCCUACCAAGGCGACGAUCCGUAGCGGGUCUGAGAGGAUGAUCCGCCACACUGGGACUGAGACACGGCCCAGACUCCUACGGGAGGCAGCAGUGGGGAAUUUUGGACAAUGGGCGCAAGCCUGAUCCAGCCAUGCCGCGUGAGUGAAGAAGGCCUUCGGGUUGUAAAGCUCUUUCGGCCGGGAAGAAAUCGCAUGGGUCAAUACCCUGUGUGGAUGACGGUACCGGAAUAAGAAGCACCGGCUAACUACGUG
This 484-nucleotide ribosomal RNA is filed under the name uncultured bacterium. RNAcentral's name for it is "bacterial SSU rRNA". It matches the Rfam family "Bacterial small subunit ribosomal RNA", at positions 29 to 507 of the family's 1533-position model. The record is from RNAcentral.